GUAUGGCUGUUCGCCAUUUAAAGUGGUACGCGAGCUGGGUUUAGAACGUCGUGAGACAGUUCGGUCCCUAUCUGUCGUGGGCGUUGGAUGAUUGAGGGGGGCUGCUCCUAGUACGAGAGGACCGGAGUGGACGCAUCUCUGGUGUUCCGGUUGUCACGCCAGUGGCAUUGCCGGGUAGCUAAAUGCGGAAGAGAUAAGCGCUGAAAGCAUCUAAGCGCGAAACUUGCCCCGAGAUGAGUCAUCCCUGAGGCUUUAAGCCUCCUAAAGGGUUGUUGGAGACUACGACGUAGAUAGGCAGGGUGUGUAAGCGUAGCGAUACGUUGAGCUAACCUGUACUAAUUGCCCGUGAGGCUUAACCAU
This 360-nucleotide ribosomal RNA is filed under the name Aeromonas dhakensis. RNAcentral's name for it is "partial 23S ribosomal RNA". It matches the Rfam family "Bacterial large subunit ribosomal RNA", at positions 2571 to 2925 of the family's 2925-position model. The record is from RNAcentral. Lineage: Bacteria; Pseudomonadati; Pseudomonadota; Gammaproteobacteria; Aeromonadales; Aeromonadaceae.